RNAcentral lists this ribosomal RNA (503 nucleotides) under uncultured bacterium. Its description in RNAcentral is "partial 16S ribosomal RNA". It matches the Rfam family "Bacterial small subunit ribosomal RNA", at positions 30 to 523 of the family's 1533-position model. The record is from RNAcentral.
AUUGAACGCUGGCGGCAGGCUUAACACAUGCAAGUCGAGCGGGGUGAUGGUGCUUGCACUAUCACUUAGCGGCGGACGGGUGAGUAAUGCUUAGGAAUCUGCCUAUUAGUGGGGGACAACAUCUCGAAAGGGAUGCUAAUACCGCAUACGUCCUACGGGAGAAAGCAGGGGAUCACUUGUGACCUUGCGCUAAUAGAUGAGCCUAAGUCGGAUUAGCUAUUUGGUGGGGUAAAGGCCUACCAAGGCGACGAUCUGUAGCGGGUCUGAGAGGAUGAUCGGCCACACUGGGACUGAGACACGGCCCGGAUUCCUACGGGAGGAAGCAGUGGGGAAUAUUGGACAAUGGGGGGAAUCCUGAUCCAGCCAUGCCGCGUGUGUGAAGAAGGCCUUAUGGUUGUAAAGCACUUUAAGCGAGGAGGAGGCUCUUUUGGUUAAUACCCAAGAUGAGUGGACGUUACUCGCAGAAUAAGCACCGGCUAACCCUGUGCCAGCCGCCGCGGUAA